GAGGGAAUAGCUCAAGUGGUAGAGCACAUGAUCAGCAUGCAUGAGGUCUUGGGUUCAAUUCCCAGUAUCUCCA
RNAcentral lists this transfer RNA (73 nucleotides) under Camelus bactrianus (Bactrian camel). It matches the Rfam family "tRNA". From Rfam's summary of the family: Transfer RNA (tRNA) molecules are approximately 80 nucleotides in length. Their secondary structure includes four short double-helical elements and three loops (D, anti-codon, and T loops). Further hydrogen bonds mediate the characteristic L-shaped molecular structure. tRNAs have two regions of fundamental functional importance: the anti-codon, which is responsible for specific mRNA codon recognition, and the 3' end, to which the tRNAs corresponding amino acid is attached (by aminoacyl-tRNA synthetases). tRNAs cope with the degeneracy of the genetic code in two manners: having more than one tRNA (with a specific anti-codon) for a particular amino acid; and 'wobble' base-pairing, i.e. permitting non-standard base-pairing at the 3rd anti-codon position. RNAcentral also lists the same sequence under 2 other names. Lineage: Eukaryota; Metazoa; Chordata; Mammalia; Artiodactyla; Camelidae. The record is from Rfam by way of RNAcentral.